Molecule: long non-coding RNA, 748 nt
Organism: Camelina sativa (false flax)
Lineage: Eukaryota; Viridiplantae; Streptophyta; Magnoliopsida; Brassicales; Brassicaceae
Source: RefSeq, a predicted model, not a curated record
GGUAUGCAAUAAUGUUUAGAGGGGUAAAGGGGUUGGAAACAAUUUUUUGUGUAGAGCUAAGACCUUCCCCAUCGGCUGGUUCAUAGGGAAGUUCUUAGCAUUUUGGUCCAAAAAAAUAAAUCAGAACAAAAGAAAAAAUUUAAGAGAUUCCCUUAUAUAGUAUACUCAUUUCUGUUCAUGGUAUUGGUCUAACAAAAAAAAUAGAAAAGGGGAAAAAAAAUUAUUUGGAUCGCAUAUCACUCUUUCCUUCUCUCUCUCUCUUUCUCUCGCGACUGCGAAAAAACGAAGAUUUGUAUUUGGAAUCGAAGGGUGUGGAGGAAGAGGAGAUUGCGGUCGGAGGAGAUGCUCAUCAUCGUGAAUUGAUGACUCGGCCGUGUCCCAUCGCGAUAGAUUAAAUAGGAAGAGUUUGAAUCAAUUGGAAUCCCAAGGUGGGCAAUUGUAUAUAUUGCACAGAUGAAUCCUCUGAUUGUCCCCAUCUUAAGCGAAACAGAGUAGAAUCCUCUACUCAUACAAGAGAACCUCAAACUAGAGUUCCAGUCGUGUUUCUAAUUCUUUUACCUUGGUGUGAACAAAUCAAAAACCUGUUGGCCACUUUUACUAUUUCGAGAUUUUGUUGUAUUCACUUCUCAUUCAUUCCCCAAAACGAAACUGAAUCUCCCUUUUGAGGUUACUAUAUCCCACAAUGUAUUAAUGUUUUUUAUUAUGUUUUAUAUGUUUACAAAUUAAUUAAAUGCAAUAUUUUCCUAUU